UGGGCAUUAGCCAAAUGGUAAGGCUACGGACUCUGAAUCCGUGAUUACUGGUUCGAUCCCAGUAUGCCCAA
This 71-nucleotide transfer RNA is filed under the name Companilactobacillus sp. RD055328. Its description in RNAcentral is "tRNA-Gln". It matches the Rfam family "tRNA". Rfam says of the family: Transfer RNA (tRNA) molecules are approximately 80 nucleotides in length. The record is from RNAcentral. Lineage: Bacteria; Bacillati; Bacillota; Bacilli; Lactobacillales; Lactobacillaceae.